UGCCAGCCGCCGCGGUAAUACAGAGGGUGCAAGCGUUAAUCGGAAUUACUGGGCGUAGAGGGUGCGUAGGUGGUUACUUAAGUUAGGUGUGAAAGCCCCGGGCUCAACCUGGGAAUUGCGCUUGAUACUGGGUGGCUAGAGUACUGUAGAGGAAGGUAGAAUUUCCAGUGUAGCGGUGAAAUGCGUAGAUAUUGGAAGGAAUACCGGUGGCGAAGGCGGCCUUCUGGACAGAUACUGACACUGAGGCACGAAAGCGUGGGGAGCAAACAGGAUUAGAUA
Molecule: ribosomal RNA, 279 nt
Filed under: uncultured bacterium
Lineage: Bacteria
Description: partial 16S ribosomal RNA
Rfam family: Bacterial small subunit ribosomal RNA
Source: RNAcentral